UCCAGAUUGGUCACAAUUGUA
Molecule: non-coding RNA, 21 nt
Filed under: Caenorhabditis elegans
Lineage: Eukaryota; Metazoa; Nematoda; Chromadorea; Rhabditida; Rhabditidae
Source: RNAcentral